Molecule: ribosomal RNA, 1147 nt
Filed under: Escherichia coli
Lineage: Bacteria; Pseudomonadati; Pseudomonadota; Gammaproteobacteria; Enterobacterales; Enterobacteriaceae
Description: partial 23S ribosomal RNA
Rfam family: Bacterial large subunit ribosomal RNA
Source: RNAcentral
UGUGAGCUCGAUGAGUAGGGCGGGACACGUGGUAUCCUGUCUGAAUAUGGGGGGACCAUCCUCCAAGGCUAAAUACUCCUGACUGACCGAUAGUGAACCAGUACCGUGAGGGAAAGGCGAAAAGAACCCCGGCGAGGGGAGUGAAAAAGAACCUGAAACCGUGUACGUACAAGCAGUGGGAGCCUCUUAAUGGGGUGACUGCGUACCUUUUGUAUAAUGGGUCAGCGACUUAUAUUCUGUAGCAAGGUUAACCGAAUAGGGGAGCCGAAGGGAAACCGAGUCUUAACUGGGCGUUAAGUUGCAGGGUAUAGACCCGAAACCCGGUGAUCUAGCCAUGGGCAGGUUGAAGGUUGGGUAACACUAACUGGAGGACCGAACCGACUAAUGUUGAAAAAUUAGCGGAUGACUUGUGGCUGGGGGUGAAAGGCCAAUCAAACCGGGAGAUAGCUGGUUCUCCCCGAAAGCUAUUUAGGUAGCGCCUCGUGAAUUCAUCUCCGGGGGUAGAGCACUGUUUCGGCAAGGGGGUCAUCCCGACUUACCAACCCGAUGCAAACUGCGAAUACCGGAGAAUGUUAUCACGGGAGACACACGGCGGGUGCUAACGUCCGUCGUGAAGAGGGAAACAACCCAGACCGCCAGCUAAGGUCCCAAAGUCAUGGUUAAGUGGGAAACGAUGUGGGAAGGCCCAGACAGCCAGGAUGUUGGCUUAGAAGCAGCCAUCAUUUAAAGAAAGCGUAAUAGCUCACUGGUCGAGUCGGCCUGCGCGGAAGAUGUAACGGGGCUAAACCAUGCACCGAAGCUGCGGCAGCGACGCUUAUGCGUUGUUGGGUAGGGGAGCGUUCUGUAAGCCUGUGAAGGUGGCCUGUGAGGGUUGCUGGAGGUAUCAGAAGUGCGAAUGCUGACAUAAGUAACGAUAAAGCGGGUGAAAAGCCCGCUCGCCGGAAGACCAAGGGUUCCUGUCCAACGUUAAUCGGGGCAGGGUGAGUCGACCCCUAAGGCGAGGCCGAAAGGCGUAGUCGAUGGGAAACAGGUUAAUAUUCCUGUACUUGGUGUUACUGCGAAGGGGGGACGGAGAAGGCUAUGUUGGCCGGGCGACGGUUGUCCCGGUUUAAGCGUGUAGGCUGGUUUUCCAGGCAAAUCCGGAAAA